This 91-nucleotide transfer RNA is filed under the name Moniliophthora perniciosa FA553. It matches the Rfam family "tRNA". Rfam says of the family: Transfer RNA (tRNA) molecules are approximately 80 nucleotides in length. Their secondary structure includes four short double-helical elements and three loops (D, anti-codon, and T loops). Further hydrogen bonds mediate the characteristic L-shaped molecular structure. tRNAs have two regions of fundamental functional importance: the anti-codon, which is responsible for specific mRNA codon recognition, and the 3' end, to which the tRNAs corresponding amino acid is attached (by aminoacyl-tRNA synthetases). tRNAs cope with the degeneracy of the genetic code in two manners: having more than one tRNA (with a specific anti-codon) for a particular amino acid; and 'wobble' base-pairing, i.e. permitting non-standard base-pairing at the 3rd anti-codon position. Lineage: Eukaryota; Fungi; Basidiomycota; Agaricomycetes; Agaricales; Marasmiaceae. The record is from Rfam by way of RNAcentral.
ACACCGUUGGUGAAGUGGUUAUCAUGCUUGCCUUCCAUAUACAGAAUGUCUUCGCGAGCAAGCGGCUCGGGUUCGAUUCCCGAACGGUGUA